This is a long non-coding RNA of Abrus precatorius (Indian licorice), 206 nucleotides long. RefSeq lists it as uncharacterized. The transcript is spliced from 3 exons. The record is from RefSeq and is a predicted model, not a curated record. Lineage: Eukaryota; Viridiplantae; Streptophyta; Magnoliopsida; Fabales; Fabaceae.
UUUCAUAGUUGCAAAGAUAUCACAUUUGACUUGUGUUGAGUGCAGAAUGCAAUCAUUGAUGAGCGUGGUUCAUUUUCUGUGACCAGCCCCUUUCCAGGCCCACUAGGGGUCUUACUGAAAUCAAUCAAAAAGUUACCAGCACGGGUUGCUUUAUCUGGGGAUGUUCUUCCUCUUAAAGAAGAUAAGGCUAAGUCUCUUGCAGAAAA